Molecule: unclassified non-coding RNA, 285 nt
Filed under: plant metagenome
Description: partial contains small subunit ribosomal RNA, internal transcribed spacer 1, and 5.8S ribosomal RNA
Rfam family: Eukaryotic small subunit ribosomal RNA (bases 1-54)
Source: RNAcentral
GGAAGUAAAACUCGUAACAAGGUUUCCGUAGGUGAACCUGCGGAAGGAUCAUUAUUGUAUAACCGAGGUGCGAGGGCUGUCGCUGACCCGAAAGGUCGUGCACGCCCGAGUGCCCUCACACACAUCCAUCUCACCCCUAUGUGCACCUCCGCGUGGGUCCCCCUUUGGCUUGUUCGGAGGGGGGCUUACGUUUUCACACAAACUUUGUAUGCAGUGUAGAAUGUAUUUUUUGUUUUUGCGAUCACGCAAUCAAUACAACUUUCAACAACGGAUCUCUUGGCUCUC